GGGACGGGGGCGACCUGAGUCUCCACGCCUCUGCGCCCCCAGCCUUGCCAAAGCCCUUGGCACCAGCUCCUCGCCCGCUGAUGUCUCUGUGUGCACAGUACCUCGGAAGCCCAGUUCAGUUCCUUCAUAUGUAAAGCUCAUGGGGCUUUGUGAAGAUUUGGAUUAACUUCUCAUUAAUCCCACAAAUCUUAAUUGAGCCCCAUUAAUGGGCCAGGCCCUUAGUGUAUUGAAUGACCUCUGCCUCUGUGCCUGCCAUAAAACAAGGACGUAAGUAGUAUAGUUAUCCGCGCAAGACCAUGGGGCCUCAGGGCACUCUUGGAGGAAAUCAGUCACCUGGAUGAGGUUUCCUGCCCUAGGCAGGGCUGAACUCCACCUCUGCAAGUGAUCUGCUGGGGCCCAUUUGUUUCACUGUUGUGGCCUAGGGAGACCUUGGGCCCCUGGAGAGCAAGGACCUGUCAGCAGCAUGUCUGGACCUCCCAAGCACCUGCUUUGGAGAAAGAGUCGGAAGGACAAGAAGACAGAGUCUUAGAGAGCGGAGACUUGUCGAUGGUCACACAGUAUGAAGCUCUCAGGUUGGAAGUCUCUCGAGGUUUCUUGGACUCCAGAGUCCAGUGAUCAACCACUGAGCUACACCUCUUCCCUUACCAAACCACCCUUCAACUCUGAGCCAGUGUGCUCACCUCUGUGUGGGGACAGACCUAUCCCCUACUAACCAGUGGCCGUGGGAAGGUCACAUAAAACAGUGUGAAAGUGCUCUGAAAGCUGGAAGUAAACGACGGGUUCUCAUUCACGGUC
This is a long non-coding RNA of Zalophus californianus (California sea lion), 795 nucleotides long. RefSeq lists it as uncharacterized. The record is from RefSeq and is a predicted model, not a curated record. The transcript is spliced from 2 exons. NCBI's taxonomy places the organism in Eukaryota, Metazoa, Chordata, Mammalia, Carnivora, Otariidae.